UACGUAGGGGGCUAGCGUUGUCCGGAAUCAUUGGGCGUAGAGAGCGUGUAGGCGGCUCGGUAAGUCCGCUGUGAAAGUCCAGGGCUCAACCCUGGAAUGCCAGUGGAAACUGUCGAGCUAGAGUCCGGAAGAGGCGAGUGGAAUUCCUGGUGUAGCGGUGAAAUGCGCAGAUAUCAGGAGGAACACCAAUGGCGAAGGCAGCUCGCUGGGACGGUACUGACGCUGAGACGCGAAAGCGUGGGGAGCAAACAGG
Molecule: ribosomal RNA, 253 nt
Filed under: uncultured bacterium
Lineage: Bacteria
Description: partial 16S ribosomal RNA
Rfam family: Bacterial small subunit ribosomal RNA
Source: RNAcentral